RNAcentral lists this ribosomal RNA (616 nucleotides) under Gemelliphila palaticanis. Its description in RNAcentral is "partial 23S ribosomal RNA". It matches the Rfam family "Bacterial large subunit ribosomal RNA", at positions 2314 to 2925 of the family's 2925-position model. The record is from RNAcentral. Lineage: Bacteria; Bacillati; Bacillota; Bacilli; Caryophanales; Gemellaceae.
AGGUACGCUAGAUACGGUCGGACAUCGUGUUGAUAGUGCAAUGGCAUAAGCGUGCUUAACUGCGAGACUGACAAGUCGAGCAGGUACGAAAGUAGGACAUAGUGAUCCGGUGGUUCUGUAUGGAAGGGCCAUCGCUCAACGGAUAAAAGGUACUCUGGGGAUAACAGGCUGAUUCCUCCCAAGAGUUCAUAUCGACGGGGGAGUUUGGCACCUCGAUGUCGGCUCAUCACAUCCUGGGGCUGAAGUAGGUCCCAAGGGUAUGGCUGUUCGCCAUUUAAAGUGGUACGCGAGCUGGGUUUAGAACGUCGUGAGACAGUUCGGUCCCUAUCUGCCGUGGGCGUUGGAAAUUUGAAGGGGGCUGCUCCUAGUACGAGAGGACCGGAGUGGACGUAUCUCUGGUGUACCGGUUGUCACGCCAGUGGCAUUGCCGGGUAGCUAAAUACGGAAGAAAUAACCGCUGAAAGAAUCUAAGCGGGAAACUUGCCUUGAGAUGAGAUUUCCCAGAGCCUUGAGCUCUUUGAAGGGUCGUGCGAGACCAGGACGUUGAUAGGCUGGGUGUGUAAGUGCAGUAAUGCAUUAAUCUAACCAGUACUAAUUGCCCGUACGGCUUGUCCCU